This 379-nucleotide non-coding RNA is filed under the name Caenorhabditis japonica. RNAcentral describes it as "Eukaryotic small subunit ribosomal RNA". It matches the Rfam family "Eukaryotic small subunit ribosomal RNA", at positions 1451 to 1831 of the family's 1831-position model. The record is from Rfam by way of RNAcentral. Lineage: Eukaryota; Metazoa; Nematoda; Chromadorea; Rhabditida; Rhabditidae.
CGAUAACAGGUCUGUGAGGCCCUUAGAUGUCCGGGGCUGCACGCGUGCUACACUGGUGGAGUCAGCGGGUUUUUCCUAUGCCGAAAGGUAUCGGUAAACCGUUGAACUUCUUCCAUGUCCGGGAUAGGGUAUUGUAAUUAUUACCCUUAAACGAGGAAUGCCUAGUAAGUGUGAGUCAUCAGCUCACGUUGAUUACGUCCCUGCCCUUUGUACACACCGCCCGUCGCUAUCCGGGACUGAACUGAUUCGAGAAGAGUGGGGACUGUGGCUGCGAGGUUUUACCACUUCGCAGUUGCGGAAACCAUUUUUAUCGCAUUGGUUUGAACCGGGUAAAAGUCGUAACAAGGUAGCUGUAGGUGAACCUGCAGCUGGAUCAUCG